RNAcentral lists this transfer RNA (84 nucleotides) under Lentinula edodes (shiitake mushroom). RNAcentral describes it as "tRNA-Val". The record is from RNAcentral. Lineage: Eukaryota; Fungi; Basidiomycota; Agaricomycetes; Agaricales; Omphalotaceae.
GGUUCGAUGGCGUAGUUGGUUAUCGCAUCUGUCUAACAUUACAUGUUGCACAGAAGGUCCCCGGUUCGAGCCCGGGUCGAAUCA